RNAcentral lists this ribosomal RNA (562 nucleotides) under uncultured bacterium. Its description in RNAcentral is "partial 16S ribosomal RNA". It matches the Rfam family "Bacterial small subunit ribosomal RNA", at positions 355 to 1375 of the family's 1533-position model. The record is from RNAcentral.
UGGGGAAUCUUAGACAAUGGGGGAAACCCUGAUCUAGCCAUGCCGCGUGAGCGAUGAAGGCCUUAGGGUUGUAAAGCUCUUUCAGCUGGGAAGAUAAUGACGGUACCAGCAGAAGAAGCCCCGGCUAACUCCGUGCCAGCAGCCGCGGUAAUACGGAGGGGGCUAGCGUUGCUCGGAAUUACUGGGCGUAAAGCGCACGUAGGCGGAUUAGUCAGUCAGAGGUGAAAUCCCAGGGCUCAACCCUGGAACUGCCUUUGAUACUGCUAGUCUUGAGGUCGAGAGAGGUGAGUGGAAUUCCCGAGUGUAGAGGUGAAAUUCGUAGAUAUUCGGAGGAACACCAGUGGCGAAGGCGGCUCACUGGCUCGAUACUGACGCUGAGGUGCGAAAGCGUGGGGAGCAAAACAGGAUUAGAUACCCUGGUAGUCCACGCCGUAAACGAUGAAUGCCAGUCGUCGGGUUGCAUGCAAUUCGGUGACACACCUAACGGGAUUAAGCAUUCCGCCUGGGGAGUACGGUCGCAAGAUUAAAACUCAAUGAAUUGACGGGGUCAUAGCUGUUUCCU